GACGAACGCUGGCGGCGUGCCUAAUACAUGCAAGUUGAGCGAUGAAGAUUGGUGCUUGCCCCAAUUUGAAGAGCAGCGAACGGGUGAGUAACGCGUGGGGAAUCUGCCUUUGAGCGGGGGACAACAUUUGGAAACGAAUGCUAAUACCGCAUAACAACUUUAAACAUAAGUUUUAAGUUUGAAAGAUGCAAUUGCAUCACUCAAAGAUGAUCCCGCGUUGUAUUAGCUAGUUGGUGAGGUAAAGGCUCACCAAGGCGAUGAUACAUAGCCGACCUGAGAGGGUGAUCGGCCACAGUGGGACUGAGACACGGCCCAAACGCCUACGGGAGGCAGCAGUAGGGAAUCUUCGGAAAUGGACGAAAGUCUGACCGAGCAACGCCGCGUGAGUGAAGAAGGUUUUCGGAUCGUAAAACUCUGUUGGUAGAGAAGAACGUUGGUGAGAGUGGAAAGCUCAUCAAGUGACGGUAACUACCCAGAAAGGGACGGCUAACUACGUG
This 497-nucleotide ribosomal RNA is filed under the name uncultured bacterium. Its description in RNAcentral is "partial 16S ribosomal RNA". It matches the Rfam family "Bacterial small subunit ribosomal RNA", at positions 28 to 507 of the family's 1533-position model. The record is from RNAcentral.